This 1245-nucleotide ribosomal RNA is filed under the name metagenome. RNAcentral's name for it is "bacterial SSU rRNA". It matches the Rfam family "Bacterial small subunit ribosomal RNA", at positions 8 to 1243 of the family's 1533-position model. The record is from RNAcentral.
AGAGUUUGAUCAUGGCUCAGAUUGAACGCUGGCGGCAGGCCUAACACAUGCAAGUCGAACGGUAACAGGAAGAAGCUUGCUUCUUUGCUGACGAGUGGCGGACGGGUGAGUAAUGUCUGGGAAACUGCCUGAUGGAGGGGGAUAACUACUGGAAACGGUAGCUAAUACCGCAUAACGUCGCAAGACCAAAGAGGGGGACCUUCGGGCCUCUUGCCAUCGGAUGUGCCCAGAUGGGAUUAGCUAGUAGGUGGGGUAACGGCUCACCUAGGCGACGAUCCCUAGCUGGUCUGAGAGGAUGACCAGCCACACUGGAACUGAGACACGGUCCAGACUCCUACGGGAGGCAGCAGUGGGGAAUAUUGCACAAUGGGCGCAAGCCUGAUGCAGCCAUGCCGCGUGUAUGAAGAAGGCCUUCGGGUUGUAAAGUACUUUCAGCGGGGAGGAAGGGAGUAAAGUUAAUACCUUUGCUCAUUGACGUUACCCGCAGAAGAAGCACCGGCUAACUCCGUGCCAGCAGCCGCGGUAAUACGGAGGGUGCAAGCGUUAAUCGGAAUUACUGGGCGUAAAGCGCACGCAGGCGGUUUGUUAAGUCAGAUGUGAAAUCCCCGGGCUCAACCUGGGAACUGCAUCUGAUACUGGCAAGCUUGAGUCUCGUAGAGGGGGGUAGAAUUCCAGGUGUAGCGGUGAAAUGCGUAGAGAUCUGGAGGAAUACCGGUGGCGAAGGCGGCCCCCUGGACGAAGACUGACGCUCAGGUGCGAAAGCGUGGGGAGCAAACAGGAUUAGAUACCCUGGUAGUCCACGCCGUAAACGAUGUCGACUUGGAGGUUGUGCCCUUGAGGCGUGGCUUCCGGAGCUAACGCGUUAAGUCGACCGCCUGGGGAGUACGGCCGCAAGGUUAAAACUCAAAUGAAUUGGCGGGGGCCCGCACAAGCGGUGGAGCAUGUGGUUUAAUUCGAUGCAACGCGAAGAACCUUACCUGGUCUUGACAUCCACGGAAGUUUUCAGAGAUGAGAAUGUGCCUUCGGGAACCGUGAGACAGGUGCUGCAUGGCUGUCGUCAGCUCGUGUUGUGAAAUGUUGGGUUAAGUCCCGCAACGAGCGCAACCCUUAUCCUUUGUUGCCAGCGGUCCGGCCGGGAACUCAAAGGAGACUGCCAGUGAUAAACUGGAGGAAGGUGGGGAUGACGUCAAGUCAUCAUGCCCCUUACGGCCAGGGCUACACACGUGCUACAAUGGUCGGUACAAA